GAUCCAGUGGAGACGCAGUGGGGCCUGUAGCUCAGAGGAUUAGAGCACGUGGCUACGAACCACGGUGUCGGGGGUUCGAAUCCCUCAUCGCCCAC
Molecule: small RNA, 95 nt
Filed under: Helianthus annuus (common sunflower)
Lineage: Eukaryota; Viridiplantae; Streptophyta; Magnoliopsida; Asterales; Asteraceae
Description: sRNA HanXRQr2_Chr05g0224041
Rfam family: tRNA (bases 21-94)
About the family: Transfer RNA (tRNA) molecules are approximately 80 nucleotides in length.
Source: RNAcentral